UACAGAGGUCUCAAGCGUUGUUCGGAUUCAUUGGGCGUAAAGGGUGCGUAGGCGGCGCGGUAAGUCGGGUGUGAAAUCUUGGAGCUUAACUCCGAAACUGCAUUCGAUACUGCCGUGCUUGAGGACUGGAGAGGAGACUGGAAUUCCCGGUGUAGUGGUGAAAUGCGUAGAUAUCGGGAGGAACACCAGUGGCGAAGGCGACUACCUGGCCUGUUCUUGACGCUGAGGCGCGAAAGCUAGGGGAGCAAACGGG
This 253-nucleotide ribosomal RNA is filed under the name uncultured bacterium. RNAcentral's name for it is "partial 16S ribosomal RNA". It matches the Rfam family "Bacterial small subunit ribosomal RNA", at positions 524 to 776 of the family's 1533-position model. The record is from RNAcentral.